AUGGAGUCAACCUGCAACACCAUCAUCAGAGGUGAAGAUAGCACUAGUAGCGCAAGCGAAAACGAAGACAGAAUCAGCGCGCUGCCCGACCAUCUUCUGCUCAAAAUCCUCGAAUGCCUUUACACGCCCACGGCAGUUCAGACCGGCGUGCUCUCCACACGAUGGAGGCACCUCCCGCAUCAGCUCUCGAAUCUGCAAAUCAAUGCUGAAUACUUUCCAGGCACUCUAGUGGAUCAGAUAAUGACCGACUACACCGACGUGAUAAGCAGAUUUCUAUCUCCGCCGCCUUGUGGAUGCCAUCGGAUCAUCAGGAUCCUGCAGCUCUGCUUCUACCUAGCAGACCCUUACUUGUCCUCCAUCGCUCACGCGGUCGGGGAUGCCCUGAAGAUCGGCGUACCGGAAUACCUCGAGUUUGCGGCCACCGGCCAUGUUGCAUGUCCAAGUGAGGCUGAACUAGUACUCUUCAGACAACGGUUUAUGUCCUUCUUCCAUGCUUGGCCUGGUCCCUUCAGUUUGCUCACCAAACUGACGCUGCGGAGCCUUUCUUUUGAAGACUCAGAUAUCCCCAAUAUCCUCAACACUUGCAAUAAACUUAAGCUCCUUUCCUUGAGAUCCUGUCAAAUGGGCCAGGACCCUGUCCUCAAGAUAGAUGCUCCAUGCUCGGAGCUCAUAGGACUUGAACUUAUCGACUUUGGGUGUGCACAAGUUGAACUAAUCUCUGCCCCUAAACUCCUGGAAUUGGUCUAUGAUAGCUGGUGCGGUGAAAACCCCCCAGUGUAUUUUCGCUAUGUCCCUCAGCUUGUUAAUUUAUACUUCGCCUCUCCUGCCCUUUCUUGGCACACACCAUUCACAUUGAGCGAGUGCCUAUCUGGUAACAGAAACCUGUCAAUGCUGCAUCUGAAUUUUCGCACUCAAAUGAUUUGGAUUGAACCUGAAGAUUCUCGACAGCUCACUCCUAUAUUCAGUAAACUGAGAGAUGCGCAUCUUUACAAUAUCUUUGCAGAGUGCGAUCUGAAUUGGACUAUGUUUAUCCUCGAAGGUGCACCUUCCUUGGAGAACUUUUAUCUAUCUCGGCGUUCAUGUGAACUCAGUAAGACCGAGGAUAGUGCUGAGAAGACCAAUGUGUUGUGGGAACCAUCCAAGGAUUCAAGGUACUUGAACUUGAAGUUGCUCGUGAUGAACGGUUUUAAGGAGGAAGACAAGGUGAUGAAUUAUGUAAGACUUGUCAUGGUACGAGCUGUCGUCUUGAAGAGAAUCGAGUUGUGUGAUGAAGACCCGUGCAAGUGCAGUGCCAACAAUCAUGAGCCUCCAAGAUUUCUGGUAGAUGAAGCUAGCAAGCAACGGAUUAGGGAGCAACUCACCCAUGGAUCCUCCUCAUCUGCGGAUAUAAUAAUCGGAUGA
Molecule: ribosomal RNA, 1401 nt
Filed under: Triticum aestivum (bread wheat)
Lineage: Eukaryota; Viridiplantae; Streptophyta; Magnoliopsida; Poales; Poaceae
Description: partial small subunit ribosomal RNA
Source: RNAcentral